This 497-nucleotide ribosomal RNA is filed under the name uncultured bacterium. Its description in RNAcentral is "partial 16S ribosomal RNA". It matches the Rfam family "Bacterial small subunit ribosomal RNA", at positions 28 to 507 of the family's 1533-position model. The record is from RNAcentral.
GAUGAACGCUGGCGGCGUGCCUAAUACAUGCAAGUCGAGCGAACAGACGAGGAGCUUGCUCCUCUGACGUUAGCGGCGGACGGGUGAGUAACACGUGGAUAACCUACCUAUAAGACUGGGAUAACUUCGGGAAACCGGAGCUAAUACCGGAUAAUAUAUUGAACCGCAUGGUUCAAUAGUGAAAGACGGUUUUGCUGUCACUUAUAGAUGGAUCCGCGCCGCAUUAGCUAGUUGGUAAGGUAACGGCUUACCAAGGCAACGAUGCGUAGCCGACCUGAGAGGGGGGUCCGGCCACACGGGAACGGAGACACGGCCCGAACCCUAAGGGAGGGCAGCAAAGGGAAACUUUCGGAAUGGGGCGAAGCCCGAACGAGGAAACGCGGGUGGGGUGAGGAGGGCCUCCGAUUGGUAAACCCUUGUAAUUGGGAAGAACAAAAUGGGAAGUAACUAUGCACGUCUUGACGGUACCUAAUCAGAAAGCCACGGCUAACUACGUG